This 431-nucleotide ribosomal RNA is filed under the name uncultured bacterium. RNAcentral describes it as "partial 16S ribosomal RNA". It matches the Rfam family "Bacterial small subunit ribosomal RNA", at positions 29 to 507 of the family's 1533-position model. The record is from RNAcentral.
AACGAACGCUGGCGGCAGGCUUAACACAUGCAAGUCGAACGCCCCGCAAGGGGAGUGGCAGACGGGUGAGUAACGCGUGGGAAUCUACCCAUCCCUACGGAAUAACGCAUGGAAACGUGUGCUAAUACCGUAUACGCCCUACGGGGGAAAGAUUUAUCGGGGAUGGAUGAGCCCGCGUUGGAUUAGCUAGUUGGUGGGGUAAAGGCCUACCAAGGCGACGAUCCAUAGCUGGUCUGAGAGGAUGAUCAGCCACAUUGGGACUGAGACACGGCCCAAACUCCUACGGGAGGCAGCAGUGGGGAAUAGUGGACAAUGGGCGCAAGCCUGAUCCAGCCAUGCCGCGUGAGUGAUGAAGGCCUUAGGGUUGUAAAGCUCUUUCACCGGAGAAGAUAAUGACGGUAUCCGGAGAAGAAGCCCCGGCUAACUUCGUG